GUAGUCUCUUCGGAGCUACAUAUACUAAAAUUGGAACGAUACAGAGAAGAUUAGCAUGGCCCCUGCGCGAUAGUAAGUUUCCAACUUAUAAUAUUCCCUUUUACUCUUU
Molecule: small nuclear RNA, 109 nt
Organism: Cloeon dipterum
Lineage: Eukaryota; Metazoa; Arthropoda; Insecta; Ephemeroptera; Baetidae
Source: RefSeq, a predicted model, not a curated record